Long non-coding RNA from Galleria mellonella (greater wax moth), 1912 nucleotides. RefSeq lists it as uncharacterized. The record is from RefSeq and is a predicted model, not a curated record. The transcript is spliced from 3 exons. Lineage: Eukaryota; Metazoa; Arthropoda; Insecta; Lepidoptera; Pyralidae.
AAUAUGUUUGUGCCUCUUUGAAGUAUUUGCACCGCUAUUUGAUAAGUUCCUACGUGGAACGGAACGUUCCACAGCUGUCAAAAUAAUUUUACAGAACCUAUUGUAAUUGUUUAAGGGUUCAUUGACAUCAUACUCGAAAUCCAAAAGUAAUUGAUUAACAGUUUCAGAAUAAAGAUCCCAAUUAACGAGACAUGCUGCAACGCUCAGAAUUCUUACAGAAUUUAGCUAAAUGUCCAUACCUCAAGCACCGGUAGCAUUGUUUAACUGGUGGUAUAUAUGGAGUGACAUUGUGGCGCCAACCUCCAAUAUCCAGAUAUUCAGGUAAUACAGAUGCAGCAAAAGUAAUUGUCACGGUUAGAGUUGGCUGUAACACAUAUCCAUGAGUCAAGAUUCUGAGUCAGUAGAAGUAUCUUCCGAAUAUAUAUCCUUGUCAUUACAAGGUUCAUGGUCUACAUCACCUGAAUCGUCAUCUUUUUUUUUCCUUUUCCUACAACUGCGCUUCCCCAUGAAUGCUAAUUAUAUUACUGUCACUGAAUUUAGUGAAAAUAUAAUAUUUUAUUCAAUAAUAAGAAUUGAUAGAGAUAGUUUUUAUAAAUUAAUAAAAAAAAUUUAAAAAACCCGCUUGUUCUUAUUCGAGUUUCCCGCCUUUUUUUUCUUGACGUUGUUGUUAUCUCGUUUCAUUUAUACAUACACGUCAGUCACAUCAAACAAAAUGUUGUUUCAUCAGUCACUUCAAUCCACAGUAUAAAAAAUUUUGAUAAAUUUUGAAACAUUUCUAUAACAAAGAUAAAGAACCUAUGAUAUCCUAACACAGUAUCCUAAAGACAACCAGUCUAAAAUGUUUUGAGUUCAAUAGCUCUGCCUACGCUAAUAAUUUGCGCUUGUGGGUUGCCAAUUAAAGAUGAUAGAUGAAAAUAAAAUGAUAGGUCAGUUAGGCAGUGCGACGAAUACAAUGGGAAUUAAUCAAGAUGAUUUUCAGGAAAAAACGCGUGAGGCUCAAUUUUGCUGAACUAUUGGCAGCCACCACGUUGUACACCUUUUUAGUGUAUUUUUUUUUAUCCGACUUAUAUGAUGUUUUAUAUUUUACUCUUCUAUUAACGUCUAAGAAAUAACAGUCAGCCUGAUAGGCUAUAUAGCAUUGGGGGUGCUCGGCCUCUUUGCUAACAAUCCUUCCUCUCACUCCCUUAACGUCAUUAACAAAUCGUUUACUUAGGUACCUUUGUGCCAUUCGUGUUAAUACCGUAAAGCAGUUGUGUUUGUUUGGUUGUUUCGAUUUGAAGGGUUUGUUAUGGAUGAUAAUGGAAUGGUAGGCCCGCUCGCGCUAUCGGUAUACACUGGCGGGGCACCAGUGAGGGAUGAUUGGUGGAGGUAAAAGGUAGGUCAAUUAGCUCAUCGUGACGAAUUUAACGAUAAAUUAGUCACGAUGGUUUCUAGGGGGAAUCGCGUGGAGGUCGACCUGUUAAGGUAUAUUGAUAACAAUGGGGACUUACCUCCCCAUUACUAACAAUCUUUUGCCCCCCUCGUAUUGAUAUAAUAAUGAGUUUAUAGGGUAUACAGAAAUAACACCUGAGUCCUCAGAAAUAGCAACGCAUGGGAGGUAUCCUGGGCGAAACAGUAUGGCGAAACUAUGUCCAAGCUUAUGUCUGUAGGCGACGGUUAUCACUUUCCAUGAGGUGGGUCGUCAGCUUGUUUGCCAUUGUAAGUUACAUUAUUAUAACAUAAAAAAUUAUAUUCUAAAAUGAGCGGUAGAUUAAUAAAAUAAAGUUUCGUAGAAAAAUAUCACUCCAGCAUCAAUUUUUUUUACUGCCGUAAAUCUGAUAACUAUAAUAAUUCUAUACCAGAAUCUUUGGUGUAACAUACAGCUCAGAAUAACGAAUAAAAUUCGAGACCAAAAAGGUUUUUUUUUAAAUAG